AUGGCUGCCAACCAAGGAGGGCUCCAGCUCUCAAUCAUAGAGAAGAAGAAACCUUUUGGUCAUCAUUUCUGUGUCCGGAUGACCAAAAGCCUUCUUCUUUGUCCAGAGCUGACUGUCCCACUAACUGAACCCACAGACACCAUGACUUUCAUCAGCAUCUUCAUCUGGACACUGACUCUCUGUUUUCAUGAGUCCAAUGGACAGGUGACUGUGACUCAGACUCCUGAGGUGAAAUCUGCUCUUCCAGGAGACACAGUCACUAUCAACUGUAAAACCAGUCCUGCAGUGCAUUACUGGAGUUCCUAUGGUCACUACCGGUACUACCUGCACUGGUACCAACGGAAACCUGGACAGGCUCCUAAACUCCUCAUUACAUUUGCUAAGCAGUUAGAGUCAGGAAUUCCAGAUCGUUUCAGUGGCAGUGGAUCUAGGACUGACUUCACUCUGACCAUCAGAGGAGUCCAGACUGAAGAUGCAGGAGAUUAUUACUGUCAGAGUGAACAUAGCAUCAGUGGUAAAUAUCUGUUCACACAGUGA
This is a non-coding RNA of Chanos chanos (milkfish), 537 nucleotides long. Lineage: Eukaryota; Metazoa; Chordata; Actinopteri; Gonorynchiformes; Chanidae. The record is from the annotation of a RefSeq genome assembly.